Molecule: transfer RNA, 71 nt
Filed under: Myxococcaceae bacterium
Lineage: Bacteria; Pseudomonadati; Myxococcota; Myxococcia; Myxococcales; Myxococcaceae
Description: tRNA-Gln
Rfam family: tRNA
About the family: Transfer RNA (tRNA) molecules are approximately 80 nucleotides in length. Their secondary structure includes four short double-helical elements and three loops (D, anti-codon, and T loops).
Source: RNAcentral
UGGGGUGUCGUCUAACGGUAGGACAGUAGCCUUUGACGCUACUUAUCCAGGUUCGAAUCCUGGCGCCCCAG